RNAcentral lists this long non-coding RNA (2235 nucleotides) under Sorghum bicolor (sorghum). RNAcentral's name for it is "long non-coding RNA (SBIC_LNC002195)". Lineage: Eukaryota; Viridiplantae; Streptophyta; Magnoliopsida; Poales; Poaceae. The record is from RNAcentral.
AGUAUGUGGUAUUUGUGGUAUGAGGCAUAAUGAUAUUGCCUUCUCUCUCACCCUACUCUAACAAGGUUUUGAUAUCUGGAGCUUAUAGGUGGGAGACAGCUAAUACAUACUUACAAGACAUUUAUUGCAUAGUCAAACCAUGGAUCCAGAGAAACAAGUCAAUAAGUCAAAUCAAGAUGUGCAUGUGUGGCGGAUGAAUGGUGUAUGGUGAUGAUGGUGAUAAUGGUGAAAACAAUGGUGAAAGUCUAAUUCUACUUUUGCUCUUUUGAGGGGAUACGUACCUUUCUUGCACUUUGAAGCUUUUUGAGGAGAACGAGAUGCUCUAUAUUUUCUUUUUCUUUUCUCUCAGGUGGGUAUCUUGUACCCCUAAUUCUACUGUUGGACACUUAUCCAUUUUUACCUCUCAUCUCACUUUUUUUUUGUUUCUUUCGAGGUUCCGGGCACUUGCCCCUUUUUAUUUCCUCGUAUUCACUUUUUUUUAGAGCACUCACCCUCCUGGAAUAAUGUAGCAAGUGGUAGUAACUAAAAUAUCUCGAGCAUUUAUUUCACGAGGAAUAACAGGGAUAGGAUAAUGUUUUUGGCUAUUCUCUCCUGGAUAGGAGUAGAAUAAUUUUGGGUAAAUCUGGAGAUGGAAAGAAGUUGAUGUAUGUGGAUGCAUACUUCCGGAGUAGAAGCAGCAUGUAUGAGUGAACGUGCAAGUGAAUCUUGAUUUUAACCGCAUGACAAGCUCCUAAGGGUCUACAGCUUGACCACACUCAAUGCUCAUAAGUAGUAAAAGUAAAUGUAUGGUUCAUAGUCUAAUAAGCAUGUAUAUAUGGCUGUGGUAGGAUUUUAAACUCUCAUCAUACAAGAACUCAUCAUGCAACAUUUUAAAGAUUUUCAAAGAUAAAAAUCUCCAGAAUUCUAGCAUCUCUAGGAACAGAUAAACAACAGCUCAACCUUCCCAUAUCAUAUCCGUUAUCGACUUAGACUUUAGAUCAAGUACUCUUCCCACAAGUUCAGGUUUAGAGCAAAUCUUAAUUCAUAACAGUCAUGCCUAAACUUGAGAGAGAAUUUAAUUUUGUGAACUAGUCAUGGCAGAGCAACUAUUCAUUAUUUCCAUGUGAGUGCUUAUCAUGAGGGUUCAUAGCAAACUUUAUUUAUUUAUUUAGCAAACUAAGCAUAGAUAUAAGCAUAAAAUCUUUAUUUGGGUUUUUAUGAUUAUGCAUCUUUUUAUUAUUUGAGUAAAAUAUAAACAUGAGUAGAAACACUUAGCUGGAUAAAUGGGGUGUUCUCCCCCAAGCUAGAUUUUGACGUAAUUUCUUCUCAUGUAGCUAGCAGGUGGUUGAGGUGUAUUUGAAUGUCGGCAGUACCCUGACAGCGAUUAGGAUGUCCUCUGUCUGCUAGUCUUCUUUGAUCCUUGAAUUCUGUGGAGCUCAAAUAGACAACAAAGCUUUGUGGAACUAGUUAAGUGUUAGCAUAAAAAUCUCCUUGCCUUUAUCAUGUUGAGCUUCCUCUAAUAAAUAUUACUCUCUUUGGUAGGAUCAUAAAUUUAUUUUUAUAUUUUCAUUUUUGUAGGACAGGAAUAUAUUUAUUUUAUUUUUAGGCCACCACAGUGAAUGUACUUUUCGGUUUUAUGCCACGAGCAUACUCACAUGGGGCUUACUAUUCUUAACAUUUUUAUUUUAUUUUCAAGAUAGCAUGAUUAACUAAUAAGGUAUUUAAGGAAAGUAAAUAAUUUAAGAGAAAAGGGAAUGCAGAAAGGAUAAAUAUGGAUAACUACCGAUUUUACCUUCAAUGUUUUAAGUCUUCUGAACAAGACUUCUCACCGUGUUCAUUCUUCACGUGCGUCAUUUGAUUCAGGUGCGGACCUUGACGUCUACUCCUCUUGAUACGGUGUCACCCAUGUUCUUCGUUUGUCCAGCAGUUCAAAGUGCGGUGCUGGUAGUAUCUUGCUCAGUGUAUUUGUGCUCGUAGUGUACCUGCUCAUAGAGACAAGGCAGAGAUCAAGUGCAUGGGCCCUGUUGGUGGAAAACACCAACAGAACCAAAAGUGUAUUUGUUCUUCUCUAACCUUAAGCAUAGUGAGCAAGACAAAGUUGAUGGAUCAUGAGUGUAGCAUUUGUCAGAUCAGAUGGCUCAACCUAAUGGAAAGAUAAUCUAUCUAUAUUUAUGUUUUGUUUAUAUCUUCCAAACAUUGAAUGUGCAACAUUUUAGCUUAUAUGAUUAGGAGUGUGGGAUCACGAAGGUAGUAAUA